RNAcentral lists this ribosomal RNA (253 nucleotides) under uncultured bacterium. Its description in RNAcentral is "partial 16S ribosomal RNA". It matches the Rfam family "Bacterial small subunit ribosomal RNA", at positions 524 to 776 of the family's 1533-position model. The record is from RNAcentral.
UACGUAGGGUGCAAGCGUUUGUCCGGAAUUAUUGGGCGUAAAGAGCUCGUAGGCGGUCUGUCGCGUCGGCUGUGAAAACCCGGAGCUCAACUCCGGGCCUGCAGUCGAUACGGGCAGACUGGAGUUCGGCAGGGGAGACUGGAAUUCCUGGUGUAGCGGUGAAAUGCGCAGAUAUCAGGAGGAACACCGGUGGCGAAGGCGGGUCUCUGGGCCGAUACUGACGUGAGGAGCGAAAGCGUGGGGAGCGAACAGG